RNAcentral lists this ribosomal RNA (468 nucleotides) under uncultured bacterium. RNAcentral describes it as "partial 16S ribosomal RNA". It matches the Rfam family "Bacterial small subunit ribosomal RNA", at positions 28 to 507 of the family's 1533-position model. The record is from RNAcentral.
GACGAACGCUGGCGGCGUGCUUAACACAUGCGAGUCGAACGGAAAGGCACUGCUUUUGUGGGGUGCUCGAGUGGCGAACGGGUGAGUAACACGUGAGUAACCUGCCCUUGACUUUGGGAUAACUUCAGGAAACUGGGGCUAAUACCGGAUAGGAGCUCCUGCUGCAUGGUGGGGGUUGGAAAGUUUCGGCGGUUGGGGAUGGACUCGCGGCUUAUCAGCUUGUUGGUGGGGUAGUGGCUUACCAAGGCUUUGACGGGUAGCCGGCCUGGGAGCGUGACCGGCCACAUUGGGACUGAGAUACGGCCCAGACUCCUACGGGAGGCAGCAGUGGGGAAUAUUGCACAAUGGGCGGAAGCCUGAUGCAGCAACGCCGCGUGCGGGAUGACGGCCUUCGGGUUGUAAACCGCUUUCGCCUGUGACGAAGCGUGAGUGACGGUAAUGGGUAAAGAAGCACCGGCUAACUACGUG